GGGCGGUUAGCUCAGCUGGAAGAGCACCUCGUUUACACCGAGGGGGUCGGCGGUUCGAACCCGUCACCGCCCACCA
This 76-nucleotide transfer RNA is filed under the name Alphaproteobacteria bacterium. RNAcentral's name for it is "tRNA-Val". It matches the Rfam family "tRNA". From Rfam's summary of the family: Transfer RNA (tRNA) molecules are approximately 80 nucleotides in length. Their secondary structure includes four short double-helical elements and three loops (D, anti-codon, and T loops). Lineage: Bacteria; Pseudomonadati; Pseudomonadota; Alphaproteobacteria. The record is from RNAcentral.